This 221-nucleotide ribosomal RNA is filed under the name Streptomyces sp. S12. RNAcentral's name for it is "partial 23S ribosomal RNA". It matches the Rfam family "Bacterial large subunit ribosomal RNA", at positions 2635 to 2852 of the family's 2925-position model. Lineage: Bacteria; Bacillati; Actinomycetota; Actinomycetes; Kitasatosporales; Streptomycetaceae. The record is from RNAcentral.
UCCCUAUCCGUCGCGGGCGUAGGAAAUUUGAGAGGAGCUGUCCUUAGUACGAGAGGACCGGGAUGGACACACCGCUGGUGUACCAGUUGUUCCGCCAGGAGCAUCGCUGGGUAGCUAUGUGUGGAUGAGAUAAACGCUGAAAGCAUCUAAGUGUGAAACUCGCCUCAAGAUGAGAUUUCCCAUUGCCUUCGGGCAAGUAAGACCCCUGAGAGAUGAUCAGG